ACGCGAUCUCUACUCAAAGUCUAAAUGACUCUCGGCAACGGAUAUCUCGGCUCUUGCAUCGAUGAAGAACGUAGCGAAAUGCGAUACUUGGUGUGAAUUGCAGAAUCCCGUGAACCAUCAAUUCUUUGAACGCAAGUUGCGCCCGAAGCCAUUCGGCCGAGGGCACGCCUGCCUGGGCGU
This 180-nucleotide ribosomal RNA is filed under the name Bellucia spruceana. RNAcentral's name for it is "5.8S ribosomal RNA". The stretch from base 27 to 180 matches the Rfam family "5.8S ribosomal RNA". From Rfam's summary of the family: 5.8S ribosomal RNA (5.8S rRNA) is a component of the large subunit of the eukaryotic ribosome. It is transcribed by RNA polymerase I as part of the 45S precursor that also contains 18S and 28S rRNA. The record is from RNAcentral. Lineage: Eukaryota; Viridiplantae; Streptophyta; Magnoliopsida; Myrtales; Melastomataceae.